GACCCAAAUUAAUACAGAAGGCUUAGCAAUGUGCUGCCGCACUCGAACAAGGCAGCUCAUCCCCGACACGACAAGGGGAAACCUCUCGCGGUAUAUCUAGCAGAUCGGGGAUCCACGGUUCAUAAUCCGUGUAAAUAACUACAAAGGCCAAGAAACACCGCCUCUGCAAUCUUCCCCGUCCCUCCUAUUCCUACGUGUCAAAAAAUGAUAGAACUGUAUCUUCAUGUUUUUCACCGUCCCGUCAUACUAUUUUUUUCGUCAUGGAUCAUAAACAUAAGAAAUACUCUCCCUCAGUUCUAUAAUUCUUGUUUCAAAUUUAUCAAAAUAUGGAUUUUUUUGAGAGCCUUUUUCUUUUUCUUUUGGUUGAGUCGAAGCUUGCCAAGAUGCAGGUCGGGUCCAAGCUUGCCAAAACAGGCAAACAUGGGCCAUUUGCCCGUUGGCUAAAAAGAUAACAAGCCAAAUACGCUCGGGCUGUGACCAAUACGCCGGGCUGGGCUCAACAAGCAUGAUCUCGGUGGCACAUGGAG
This 527-nucleotide long non-coding RNA is filed under the name Brachypodium distachyon (stiff brome). Its description in RNAcentral is "long non-coding RNA (BDIS_LNC001574)". Lineage: Eukaryota; Viridiplantae; Streptophyta; Magnoliopsida; Poales; Poaceae. The record is from RNAcentral.